GAUGAAGAACGUAGCGAAAUGCGAUAAGUAAUGUGAAUUGCAGAAUUCAGUGAAUCAUCGAAUCUUUGAACGCACAUUGCGCCCCUUGGUAUUCCGAGGGGCGUGCCUGUUCGAGCGUCAUUAUAACCCCUCAAGCUCAGCUUGGUGUUGGGGCCUGCUGCACUGGCAGCCCUUAAAAUCAGUGGCGGCGCCAUCUGGCUCUAAGCGUAGUAAUUCUUCUCGCUAUGGAGUCCUGGUGGAUGCUUGCCAUCAACCCCCAAUUUUUCUAUGGUUGACCUCGGAUCAGGUAGGGAUACCCGCUGAACUUAAGCAUAUCAAUAAGCGGAGGA
This 329-nucleotide unclassified non-coding RNA is filed under the name soil metagenome. Its description in RNAcentral is "partial contains 5.8S ribosomal RNA, internal transcribed spacer 2, and large subunit ribosomal RNA". The stretch from base 1 to 120 matches the Rfam family "5.8S ribosomal RNA", at positions 35 to 154 of the family's 154-position model. The record is from RNAcentral.